CAUCUUGAUGGUAGUGGUCCCCUAGGCCCAGCUGUUUUCUCUUUAUCUCUUUGUCUUGUGUCUUUAUUUAUUACAAUCUCUCAUCUCCACACACGGGGAGAACACCUGCUAAGCCCCAUAAGGCUGGGCCCUACAUCUGGCGCUCCAACGUGGGUUUCUCCCUUCCUCUGUGAAGUUGCGCUUUGAGCCGGGGACUCAGCGGAGGACUUUCGACCACAGAUUCCUGAGGAUUGCAGUCAGUGAGCUUGGUGGAAAGGACCAACAAGCUAUUUGGCUUCCCUCCAGUCAGUUGAAAUUGUACCAUGACUCCAGCCUUGAAGAACCGUCAGAAACAAAAGGCGAACAACCGCCAGAAAUCGAAGCACAAGGCUCGUCGCCUGACUAAUAAAAUUUGUAAUCUUAACUUCGCAUCACAGGGUCGCCCCACAACUCC
This is a long non-coding RNA of Macaca mulatta (Rhesus monkey), 433 nucleotides long. RefSeq lists it as uncharacterized. The record is from RefSeq and is a predicted model, not a curated record. Lineage: Eukaryota; Metazoa; Chordata; Mammalia; Primates; Cercopithecidae.